RNAcentral lists this transfer RNA (73 nucleotides) under Armatimonadota bacterium. RNAcentral describes it as "tRNA-Val". It matches the Rfam family "tRNA". Rfam says of the family: Transfer RNA (tRNA) molecules are approximately 80 nucleotides in length. Their secondary structure includes four short double-helical elements and three loops (D, anti-codon, and T loops). RNAcentral also lists the same sequence under 2 other names. The record is from RNAcentral. Lineage: Bacteria; Bacillati; Armatimonadota.
GGGCGAAUAGCUCAGCCGGAAGAGCGCUUGCUUUACACGCAAGAUGUCGGGGGUUCGAGUCCCUCUUCGCCCA